UACGGAGGGGGCUAGCGUUGUUCGGAAUUACUGGGCGUAAAGCGCACGUAGGCGGUGUUGCAAGUCAGAGGUGAAAGCCCAGAGCUCAACUCUGGAAUUGCCUUUGAGACUGAGUGGCUUGAGUACGGGAGAGGUGAGUGGAAUUCCCAGUGUAGAGGUGAAAUUCGUAGAUAUCGGGAGGAACACCGGUGGCGAAGGCGGCGAUCUGGGUCGAUACUGACGCUGAGGUGCGAAAGCGUGGGGAGCAAACAGG
RNAcentral lists this ribosomal RNA (253 nucleotides) under uncultured bacterium. RNAcentral's name for it is "partial 16S ribosomal RNA". It matches the Rfam family "Bacterial small subunit ribosomal RNA", at positions 524 to 776 of the family's 1533-position model. The record is from RNAcentral.